GUGCCUCCCCAGGAGCCUGGAUGGAGGUGAGGCUGCUGAACGGCACAGGAAGGUGCUCAGGCCGUGUGGAAGUUCUCGUCCAGGGCACGUGGGGGACCGUGUGUGAUGAUCUCUGGGACCUGGCUGAGGCCACUGUCGUGUGCCGCCAGCUGCAGUGUGGCCAGGCUGUGGCAGCCCCCACAGGGGCCCACUUUCGGGCAGGCUCUGGGAAGAUCUUACUGGAUGACAUGCAGUGUGUGGGCAGUGAGAGCCAUCUGGGUCAAUGCAUGCGUGGGGACCAGGCCAGGCACAACUGUGGGCACCUGGAGGAUGCCAGUGUCAUCUGCACAGGUGCUGGCAAUUCACCAGGUCUCGCUCCAACCACAGAGCCUGAAGCUGUCACUUCAUCAUACACACCAUCAGACUGGAGUGCAGCAGCGUGAACUCAGCUCACUGCAACCUCUGCCUCCCGGGUUCAAGCAGUUCUCUUGCUUCAGCCUCCCGAGCAGCUGGGACUACAGGUCAAGCACUGUUAUUAGCUGUGCCCACCACAAAGCCUGCUGUGCUUCCCUCAACCCCCUUUCCAACAGGUGAUGGAUUAUCUGCAACCAUAGCCACGACAGCCAUGACCCUGCCAUCCACACCCAUGCCCCCAGCAGGUGCCAAGUCUUCAAUCACUUCUCCAACAGCUCCUGAGUCAUUUGCUGCUCCUGGGGCAACAAAACCCACAAUUUAUGGUGCUGAUUCCACAGCUGCUCUGCCUACAGCCCAUGAGAACCUGCUCCCCACAUCAUUGGUGAUAUCAGUGGCUCAACACCCACCGUCUUCUGCACCACCAGAAAAAUCUCGGUGUGGUGGCAUUAUUACCAACUCAUCUGGAGCGAUUAGGAAUCCCCCACAGAAUGAAAUGCAUGACAACAUCACUUGUGUGUGGGAAAUCAAGGCAAAUGCAUCUGAUCAUAUACUGCUGGCAUUUCCACAUCUUGACCUUGACUGCACCAAUGAAUAUUUUGAAAUCCUGGACGGUCCACCAUCCUCAGUAAAGUCAUUGGGGAGGACCUGCUCUGGCUUCCAACACACCUACAUCUCCUCCUCCAGCUCAAUGACCCUCGUGUAUUUCCGAAGCUUCAACAACCUAGGAUAAAACUUCAUUGCUUAUUAUUACUCUGCACCCAAAGAGGCAGUGUUGCAGACCCCACAUCUAAUCACCAUCCCGACAGCAACACCCAGAACAGUAACAGCAAGAGCAGGGGACUGGCCGGAGCUGCAGCUGGUGGGUGGCUCUGGCCGGUGCUCAGGACGCGUGGAGAUUCUCCACCAGGGCGCCUGGGGCACCGUGUGUGAUGACCUGUGGGACCUGAACGAAGCUGAGGUUGUGUGCCGGCAGCUUGGGUGUGGUCGAGCCAUGUCUGCCCUUGGAAAGGCCCACUUUGGCCCCGGCUCAGGAGACAUCUUCCUGGACAACCUCCAGUGCGCUGGUGUGGAGCGCUACCUGGGCCAGUGCACCCACUCGGGCUGGUCAGAGCACAACUGGCCACCACGAGGAUGCCAGUGUCAUCUGCUCAGAUGCUGAAGAAUCACUUGCUAACAGUCCAGAGGGCUGGCCGGAGCUGAGGCUGAUGGGCGGCUCAGGCCGGUGCUUGGGGCGCGUGGAGAUUCUCCACCAGGGUGCCUGGGGCACCGUGUGCGACGACCUGUGGGACCUGAAUGAAGCCAAGGUUGUGUGCCGGCAGUUGGGGUGUGGGCAGGCUGUUUCUGGCCCUGGCGAGGCCCACUUUGGCCCAGGCUCAGGAGACAUCUUCCUGGACAACCUCCAGUGCACUCGGGUAGAGCACUACCUGGGCCAGUGUACCCACUUGGGCUGGUCAGAGCACAACUGUGGCCACCACGAGGAUGCCAGUGUCAUCUGCUCAGAUGCGGAAGACCUACCUCCACCCACACCUCCAGAUUCUUCUACAGCUUCUCAGGAUCACAUAAAAGGAGGAAGUAACUCUUGUGGAGGGGUCAUUUCUAGUCUCUCUGGCUCAUUUUCUAGUCCACAGUAUCCAGAAAACUACCCAACAGAUAUCCAGUGUGUUUGGGAGAUCCACAUGGGUGCAAAAUUUCACAUAGAACUCAUAAUUCCAAGUUUGAAGGUUAUACAGUCCAAAGAUAGACGUCUUUGUCAUCUCCAUUAGAGAUGAGGAGUCUGAGGCUCAGAGAGGAUAACUAAUUUGCCCAAGGCCAACCCAUCUAGAUCUGUCUGAUGUCAAUGACCCAUCUGUUCACCAAUAUGUGGGUCUGUAAAAGAGUCUGCAUGAAGCCCUUCUUCUUGUGCAUGACACACAUCGUGUUACAAACACAGCAAGACUGUAGAAUUCCAUGAUCAUUAGCUCCAGGCAUGCACUGAAUUGCGUUCCAUCAUGACUGUACCACAACCAUGGAUUCAGACAUGCACUAAGCCAAAAAUGCCUCAGGAUAUAUUUGUUGACUAAAACUUUAGGGACACAAUUAGCCACAAUGAGGUUGGAAGAUAUCCUUGGAUGUCCCUAUGACUCCGUUGAAAUCUUCAAUGGUCCCAGGAUUGCCUCGCUCUCCAUGGGGAAGUUCUGUGCCCCUGAAACUGUGAUAUUCUUCUCCUCCUCACACAUCAUGACAGUGGUGUUCCAAAGUGAUUCUAUGAAAACCAACACUGGCUUUUAUGCUCUUUUCAAUGCCAUUCCUCAGGGUGAAAGGGAGUCAGAUGCUGGGGACUGGGCUCCAGAUGUGAUUCCUCCACCCCCAGAUAUCAUUCCUCCAGCCCCUAUACCACAAGGAGGAAGUAACUCUUGUGGAGGAGUGAUUUCAAGUCUCUCAGGUUCCUUCUCCAGCCCUUGGUACCCUACAAACUACCCCACCAACUUGGAGUGCGUCUGGGUGAUACACGUGGCUGAGAAAUUCCACAUAGAACUGAUGAUCCCAAGCCUGAAGCCCUGGACUAGAAUCAGACUCAUAGUGCCAACCAAGAAAGACGAGAUCUCUACCCUCACAGAGUUUAUAUUCUAGAUGAUGAGACAAAUGGUACUCAGAUAAACCAAUGACUCAAUGGACAAUUUCAACUAGUGAUAAAUUGAAAAAUGCUAUGAAGAAAAAAAUAUACAUACAUGAUAAUAGGAUAGAAAAUAAAGAAGGAGAAGACAGCAACAGAUUAGAGGACAUCUAUGGGUGUCCUUACGACUUUAUCGAAGUGUUCGAUGGACAACAGGCUGCCUCACUCUCCAUGGGCAGGUUUUGUGCUGGGACAGAGCUCACGUUCCUUUCUUCUUCAAACAUCAUGACCACAGUGUUCAGAAGCAACGCCAUGAUCACCAACACAGGGUUUUAUGCUCUGUACAACACCGUUCAGCAAGAUGAAAGGGAGAACGGCUUAGGAGAACUGAAGAGAGAUGAGCUACCCACACCUUCUAUGUCUUCCACUGCCUCUCUGCCUUACCUAGGAGCAUCUGCUGCUGUGAGUUACCCAACCUCAGGUGCAGUGACUCACGCCUGUAAUCCCAGCACUUUCGGAAGCUGAGGUGGGCUGAUCACCUGAGGUCAGGAGUUUGAGACCAGCCUGGCCAACAUGGUGAAACCCCGUCUCUACUAAAAAUACAAAAAUUAGCUGGGCUUGGUGGGGCAUGUCUGUAAUCCCAGCUACUCAGGAGGCUGAGGCAGGAAAAUUGCUUGAACCCGGGAGAUGGAGGUUGCAGUGAGCUGAGAUCAUGCCACUGCACUCCAGCCUGAGCAGCAGAGCAAGAUUUCAUCUC
Molecule: long non-coding RNA, 3743 nt
Organism: Homo sapiens (human)
Lineage: Eukaryota; Metazoa; Chordata; Mammalia; Primates; Hominidae
Gene: DMBT1L1
Product: deleted in malignant brain tumors 1 like 1 (pseudogene)
Source: Ensembl